GGCAAUGUGUCUGAGUGGUUAAGGAGCGUGACUAGAAUGAUAGCCCACAGAUUCAUCUGUGAGGCACUCAAAUCAAAUCACGUGGGUUCGCCCGCGUAGGUUCAAAUCCUGCCAUUGUCG
Molecule: transfer RNA, 120 nt
Rfam family: tRNA
About the family: Transfer RNA (tRNA) molecules are approximately 80 nucleotides in length. Their secondary structure includes four short double-helical elements and three loops (D, anti-codon, and T loops).
Source: Rfam